ACGUCGCAAUCUCCGAAUCUUAUAAAAUCGAGUGGGGGAACCAGUUUUCUGGGGUGAAUUCUUUAUUUAAAGAAGGGGCAACUUGGAUGUCCUAACCCGUCAGCUAACCUCAUAGGAGUUACCAAGCGUAUAA
This 133-nucleotide small RNA is filed under the name Mycoplasmatota bacterium. Its description in RNAcentral is "Tenericutes bacterium c-di-AMP sequence". It matches the Rfam family "c-di-AMP riboswitch aptamer (ydaO/yuaA leader)". Rfam says of the family: This family represents a conserved RNA structure found upstream of the ydaO and yuaA genes in Bacillus subtilis and related genes in other bacteria. The ydaO/yuaA element is thought to act as a genetic "off" switch for the ydaO and yuaA genes in its native state. The record is from RNAcentral. Lineage: Bacteria; Bacillati; Mycoplasmatota.